AAAGUUUCAAGCUUGCCAAAACAGACAAGGCCAAAGGAAAUUAAAUAGGCAGAGACUCGGACAGUCCCAAGCGACAGUGUGCGUGCAUACACACAACGUGUCUAUGUGAGUGAGAGCAGUGACUUCCAGGUUGUUUUAACUUGAGGAGAA
Molecule: long non-coding RNA, 150 nt
Organism: Myxocyprinus asiaticus (Chinese sucker)
Lineage: Eukaryota; Metazoa; Chordata; Actinopteri; Cypriniformes; Catostomidae
Exons: 3
Source: RefSeq, a predicted model, not a curated record